UAAGAAUCAGGUGGAGGGCUUGUUAAUAGAUAGGGCUGCCACUACCCCUCUUUGGGUCUGAUUUAGAGGGUCUGGGGUGGGUCCUGGGAAGCGCUAUUUUUAACAAGUGCCCUCACAUCCAUUCCUAGGGUCAGAUCAGUUGAGGAAACACGUUUCUCUUACUCCAGCUUCAGAAUGCCAUUCUGUUACUCUUUCAUCUGGGAAGGGCUUCUGAACGCACAGACAAAAUUCAGUCCUACGGGACAUCAGGUGUCUGCUCUAGUAGCACUUGCCGCAUGCUUUUCUUACUAGCACUAACCAGGCAGCAUUCUAAUCUACCUGACUAAAAAGUCUGCGGUGGCUUCUGUUAGCUACAAGAUAAAGUCUGCACUCAAGUCAAUUCAACAAGUGUUUUGAGCAUCUAUUACAUGUCAGAUACUAUUCUAGGUUUAAUACAGAAUUGAAUGAGACGUGGUCCCAGAUCUCAAGGAGCUCACAUAGUCUGUGGAGGAUUGUCUCUGCUUCGCAUUUAAAGUCUUUCAAAUCUUGGCCCAACUUAGGUUUUUCUCACUCAUUAUCUCUCAAAGGCCUCUUCGAGCUCACCAUAGCCUUAGGCCCUUUCCAGGUGCUGUUCCUUCUACCUAGAAUGCUCUUCCCUCACCCAUUUGAUCUAGUUCGUUUCUGCUUUUCCUUUAGCUGUCACCUCAAGUGUCUCUUCCUUAGGAAACUUUUUUUUGUUCUCACUUACUCGCACGUUCAUCAUUACAUUCACUUUGUAUCUCCUUCAAAGCAUUUGUCUCAGACUCAGUUUUGUAUUUGUAUGAUUAUUUGAUUAAUGUUUGUCUCCCCCUCUAAGCUGUAAGCUCCAUGAGGACAGGGGUGUGGGUUGUGGUUAUCUAGAUGUUCACUGUAGAACUCUUUGUUAAUCUGUCUUUAUUCAUUUAUGCACUUUUCUGUAAAUUUGUUAUAUCUAUCUCUGACCAUCAGUUUAUCUUGCAUACCAUGUUCUAAGUCAAAUCCUGAACAUUGUAACAAACUUUAACAAUAAUAUCAGCUAACAUUCUUUGAUUAUUAUGUACCAGGCACUUACAUGGAUCAUUUCAUUUAAACUUCACAAAAUACUUUAAGAUAGAGACUUACCUCCAUUUCAAAAAAUGGCUUACAAAAAUGACUCAACUUCUGCUUCCCUGUCCACAGCAUCUAAAACCACUCUCCCCUUUCAUCACCCCACUGAGCUCUGAAUUGACUGUACUUACCAGCUAUCCUCCUGCCCAACCUCAUUGACUAGUCCCUUAGUCUGGAAUACUAUCUCCUUUCGCCAGACUCAUCUUUCAUCUCUCAGAAGAGCCUUCUAGGACCUGCCUCAGAUUGGAUCAGGUCCUUUGUUAUAUGUACUGGUUUCCCAUUGCUGUAACAGAUUACCACAAAUUUAGUGGCUUAAAACAACACAAAUUUAGUAUCUUACAGUACUGGAGGUCAGAAGUCCCAAAACCAAUGUGUUUGCAUGGCUGUACUGCUUCUGAAGGCUCUAUGGGAGAAUACAGUUCUUGUCUUUUCCAGCUUCUAAAGGCUGCCUGCAUUCCGUGGUUCAUGACCUCUUCCUCCAUCUUGAAGGCCAGCAAAGCGACAUCCUCUAAUAUCUGUUUUUUCUUGUCCUUCACCUUUCCACCAAUCUCCUUCUCUAGCUCUGACCCUUCUGCCUUCCUCUUUUAAGGACCCUUGUGAUUACAUUGAGCCCACCUGGAUAUUUCAGGAUACUCUCCCCAUCUCAAGAUCCUUAACUUAAUCAUACCGGCGAAGUCCCUUUUGCCACGAAAAAGACUGUAUCUUAUUCGUUACAUCAUCAGCUCACUGUUCAGUGCUUGGCACAUGGUAAAGCCUCAAAAAAUAUCUGUCCACUGAAUAAAUGAACUACUCAACACUGGCAUACAGCUGCCCCUACAGCUUUAUAAUCUUAAUCAGCAUUAAUAAAAAUGGAAUCUUCAGAGCAAGGAACAUGACCAUGGUAGCUUCUUUCACCCUGCUUGACUGGUCAAAAACACCUGGAAUUAUGUGCGUAGUUCCAAGAACUACACUUCAACAUGAAGGAGGUAAAUUGGGACAUAUUUAAAGGAAUGCAACAGGAUGGAGAAGAACAAAAAACAAUAUUAUGAAAACCCAGAGCAUUUAUAAUGUUUAGGGCUUAAAUGAGUAGAGUUGAGAAAGGGUGUGAAGCAAAGAAAAACCCAUCAUCAAGACUACCAUCACCACUGUCCUAGCAGCCAGUGUGUGUGUGCACAUGCAGGCGCUGCAUGUGUGUGUUUUGGGAAGCAGCAUCUUUGUUAGCAACCGUUUGCCCCAGAAGGAAAGUUUGUAACAUUUUCACAGAUCCGUAGCACGUUGUGUGGACCAUGUGUGAUCCGGAUUCUGCUUGCCUUUAAAGGUCCUUCUAGUUGUGGCAUGUGGGACGCUGCCUCAGCGUGGUUUGAUGAGCAGUGCCAUGUCCGCACCCAGGAUUCGAACCAAAACACUGGCCCGCCUGCAGCGGAGCGCGCGAACUUAACCACUCAGGCACGGGGCCAGCCCCUCAGGUCACCUUUUUUUGACUCCUAAAAUCAGCUUUCUCUAUUAUUUGUUGUUAUCGUUCUCUGUACUUCCAAUUUCUCCAUAGAACUUAUUAGAACUUUAACUUAUAAAGUCCAUUAUUUGUGAGAUCAUUUACUUAACUCUUCUUCUCUAAACUGUAAAAUGUCUCUAUCUUGUUCUUAAUCAUCUCCUCAACAUUUCGCAUAAUGCCUGAAACACAGAGAUGAUCAAAAAUUAUCUAUUGAAUAAAAACAUGCAUGGCUG
This 2808-nucleotide long non-coding RNA is filed under the name Equus caballus (horse). RNAcentral describes it as "lncRNA (ENSECAG00000051516.1)". Lineage: Eukaryota; Metazoa; Chordata; Mammalia; Perissodactyla; Equidae. The record is from RNAcentral.